AGCGAACGCUGGCGGCAGGCCUAACACAUGCAAGUCGAACGGCAGCACAGUAAGAGCCUGCUCUUACGGGUGGCGAGUGGCGGACGGGUGAGGAAUAACUCGGAAUCUACUUGUUCGCGGGGGAUAACGUAGGGAAACUUACGCUAAUACCGCAUACGAACUACGGGUGAAAGCAGGGGAUCUUCGGACCUUGCGCGAUUGAAGGAGCCGAUGUCGGAUGAGCUAGUUGGCGGGGUAAAGGCCCACCAAGGCGACGAUCCGUAGCUGGUCUGAGAGGGUGAUCAGCCACACUGGAACUGAGACACGGUCCAGACUCCUACGGGAGGCAGCAGUGGGGAAUAUUAGACAAUGGGCGCAAGCCUGAUCCAGCCGUACCGCGUGGGUGAGGAAGGCCUUCGGGUUGUAAAGCCCUUUUGUUGGGGAAGAAAAGCAGCCGGUUAGUACCCCGCUGUUGUGACGGUACCCAAAGAAUAAGCACCGGCUAACUUCGUG
RNAcentral lists this ribosomal RNA (492 nucleotides) under uncultured bacterium. RNAcentral's name for it is "partial 16S ribosomal RNA". It matches the Rfam family "Bacterial small subunit ribosomal RNA", at positions 29 to 507 of the family's 1533-position model. The record is from RNAcentral.